RNAcentral lists this ribosomal RNA (484 nucleotides) under uncultured bacterium. RNAcentral describes it as "partial 16S ribosomal RNA". It matches the Rfam family "Bacterial small subunit ribosomal RNA", at positions 30 to 507 of the family's 1533-position model. The record is from RNAcentral.
AUUGAACGCUGGCGGCAGGCCUAACACAUGCAAGUCGAGCGGAUGAAGGGAGCUUGCUCCUGGAUUCAGCGGCGGACGGGUGAGUAAUGCCUAGGAAUCUGCCUGGUAGUGGGGGAUAACGUCCGGAAACGGGCGCUAAUACCGCAUACGUCCUGAGGGAGAAAGUGGGGGAUCUUCGGACCUCACGCUAUCAGAUGAGCCUAGGUCGGAUUAGCUAGUUGGUGGGGUAAAGGCCUACCAAGGCGACGAUCCGUAACUGGUCUGAGAGGAUGAUCAGUCACACUGGAACUGAGACACGGUCCAGACUCCUACGGGAGGCAGCAGUGGGGAAUAUUGGACAAUGGGCCAAAGCCUGAUCCAGCCAUGCCGCGUGUGUGAAGAAGGUCUUCGGACUGUAAAGCACUUUAAGUUGGGAGGAAGGGCAGUAAGUUAAUACCUUGCUGUUUUGACGUUACCAACAGAAUAAGCACCGGCUAACUUCGUG